This 72-nucleotide transfer RNA is filed under the name Loxodonta africana (African savanna elephant). It matches the Rfam family "tRNA". Rfam says of the family: Transfer RNA (tRNA) molecules are approximately 80 nucleotides in length. Their secondary structure includes four short double-helical elements and three loops (D, anti-codon, and T loops). Further hydrogen bonds mediate the characteristic L-shaped molecular structure. tRNAs have two regions of fundamental functional importance: the anti-codon, which is responsible for specific mRNA codon recognition, and the 3' end, to which the tRNAs corresponding amino acid is attached (by aminoacyl-tRNA synthetases). tRNAs cope with the degeneracy of the genetic code in two manners: having more than one tRNA (with a specific anti-codon) for a particular amino acid; and 'wobble' base-pairing, i.e. permitting non-standard base-pairing at the 3rd anti-codon position. The record is from Rfam by way of RNAcentral. Lineage: Eukaryota; Metazoa; Chordata; Mammalia; Proboscidea; Elephantidae.
GCAUUGGUGGUUCAGUGGUGGAAUUCUAGCCUUCCAUGUGGGAGACCCCAGGUUCAAGUCCCAGCCAGUGCA